GUCAAAUCAUUAAUCAGUUUCAUGGUAGGAUUGAGAAGAACAAAUGCAGUAAUGUGAUCCGGCAGCACCAGGCAGCUGUAGUCUCUGUUUUCCCUGCUGCUUUCCACCAGCAACCAGUCCCUUCACUGUCACUGUCACCUUACCUCACGGGCCUCAUAAAUCAUUCAGCAGGCCAUUGAAAGUUAUGCAGACUAACUUGCCCACAACUUACCUCACAACUCUGUCUACCAACAGACAGAUCAGAACAUGUGUAUAGAACAACAUCAGACAAGAGACAUUUGUUAAGACAGUGAUGUUUCUACAGCAUAUUCUUAAUCUUAUUCUUAGCUAUGACAACCAAGAGACUUUUAACAGAUCCUGGAUGACAAAUUAAAUGUUUGUUGUUUGAAUCUGGAAUAGAGCAGGGGGACAUAAUAACCAUGCUAAGGACAUGCAGAUGCAAGAGUUUCAAGAGUGUGUGGUGGCUGAAUGCUGUGCUCCUUACUUUGGCUCAUGGAAAAAACUUCAGUCAAGAGUUCCAGGAGAGACUGCCCUGCCAGCCAGGUUUCUACUGUCCUUUGGGGAGCUUCACUCCAGUCCCCUGUCCAAAGGGAACCUAUGGGCCAACUGCUGGUGCUGUGUCUAUAGACAGCUGCCUGAAGUGUCCUCCUCACCACUACUGUCCUAGACCGGGUCUGCCUGCCUCCCUGCCCUGUGGCCCUGUGGCUCAGCAGCCUCUGUCUGGUCAGGACUCUUGCGUCUGCCCGGGAGAGGGGCAGAGCUUCCAGACCAGUGACAGGCGGUGCCACUGUACCCUCGGCUACCAACCUUCCGACAACGGAGAUGUGUGUGUACACAAACUGUACGAUGUCUGCAGAGAUGGAAAAGCACGUACACAGAAUGGAGACUGUCUGAGCAGAUAUCAGUGGUCACUUCACUGUAAGCAGCAGGUGUGUCAAUCUGCAGAGGACUACCAUGGUUAUGAUGGACAGCUGGGUCUGUGCAUUUGUAAAGAGCCCCCUGGCAGAACUGCAUGUGGAGCCCUAUGCAGGAGAACGCCAGAUACUGAGCUCUAUCUCCAGUGCCAGCCCAAAGGAGAAAUGGAGCUGGUAUGGAGCUAUGGCAGUCAGGUGUCGGGCAUAUCAGGCAGCGUGCUGGAGACAGUUUUUAAACAGUGGGACUCCCAGGGGACUCUUCAGUGCAAAAGCCACCUCAACUCCUUACAUCCUGUCUACAUUGUUCAGACAACAGCGGCAGGCUUCCUCGGCCUCCUCAGCGGCCUCCCAAAGGAGCUUCAGCAACUGUUUCCUGUCACCACACAGCGAAACACUCAAAGCUCCGCUGGUUUGUCACAACAAAGCAAUAAUUUUUUUUCAAUCAUUAAAACACAAAUAAUAUGA
RNAcentral lists this long non-coding RNA (1379 nucleotides) under Dicentrarchus labrax (European seabass). RNAcentral's name for it is "lncRNA (ENSDLAG00005027421.1)". Lineage: Eukaryota; Metazoa; Chordata; Actinopteri; Moronidae. The record is from RNAcentral.